RNAcentral lists this ribosomal RNA (253 nucleotides) under uncultured bacterium. RNAcentral describes it as "partial 16S ribosomal RNA". It matches the Rfam family "Bacterial small subunit ribosomal RNA", at positions 524 to 776 of the family's 1533-position model. The record is from RNAcentral.
UACGGGGGGGGCAAACGUUGUUCGGAAUUACUGGGCGUAAAGGGCUCGUAGGCGGCCAACUAAGUCAUACGUGAAAUCCCUCGGCUUAACCGGGGAACUGCGUCUGAUACUGGAUGGCUUGAGUUCGGGAGAGGGAUGCGGAAUUCCAGGUGUAGCGGUGAAAUGCGUAGAUAUCUGGAGGAACACCGGUGGCGAAGGCGGCAUGCUGGGCCGGCAUUGACGCUGAGGCGCGAAAGCCAGGGGAGCAAACGGG